GCAGCACGGGGGCAACCCUGGUGGCGAGUGGCGAACGGGUGAGUAAUACAUCGGAACGUGUCCUGUAGUGGGGGAUAGCCCGGCGAAAGCCGGAUUAAUACCGCAUACGCUCUACGGAGGAAAGGGGGGGAUCUUAGGACCUCCCGCUACAGGGGCGGCCGAUGGCAGAUUAGCUAGUUGGUGGGGUAAAGGCCUACCAAGGCGACGAUCUGUAGCUGGUCUGAGAGGACGACCAGCCACACUGGGACUGAGACACGGCCCAGACUCCUACGGGAGGCAGCAGUGGGGAAUUUUGGACAAUGGGCGAAAGCCUGAUCCAGCAAUGCCGCGUGUGUGAAGAAGGCCUUCGGGUUGUAAAGCACUUUUGUCCGGAAAGAAAACGCCGUGGUUAAUACCCGUGGCGGAUGACGGUACCGGAAGAAUAAGCACCGGCUAACUACGUGCCAGCAGCCGCGGUAAUACGUAGGGUGCAAGCGUUAAUCGGAAUUACUGGGCGUAAAGCGUGCGCAGGCGGUCCGCUAAGACAGAUGUGAAAUCCCCGGGCUUAACCUGGGAACUGCAUUUGUGACUGGCGGGCUAGAGUAUGGCAGAGGGGGGUA
Molecule: ribosomal RNA, 599 nt
Filed under: bacterium enrichment culture clone T56x_E11_T3_C08
Lineage: Bacteria
Description: bacterial SSU rRNA
Rfam family: Bacterial small subunit ribosomal RNA
Source: RNAcentral